CCCUUAGACGUUCUGGGCCGCGCGCGCGCUACACUGACCAGUGCAACAAGCAUCCGUCCUUGGCCGACAGGCUCGGGCAAUCUUUGAACGCUGGUCGUGAUGGGGAUAGACUUUUGCAAUUUUUGGUCUUCAACGAGGAAUUCCUAGUAAACGCAAGUCAUCAACUUGCAUUGAUUACGUCCCUGCCCUUUGUACACACCGCCCGUCGCACCUACCGAUUGAAUGGUCCGGUGAAGCCUCCGGAUUGGCGCGCACCUCGGUGCCGCCGAGAAGUUGGCUAAACCUUACCAUUUAGAGGAAGGUGAANUCGUAACA
RNAcentral lists this ribosomal RNA (315 nucleotides) under uncultured eukaryote. RNAcentral describes it as "partial 18S ribosomal RNA". It matches the Rfam family "Eukaryotic small subunit ribosomal RNA", at positions 1470 to 1796 of the family's 1831-position model. The record is from RNAcentral.